Molecule: ribosomal RNA, 497 nt
Filed under: uncultured bacterium
Lineage: Bacteria
Description: partial 16S ribosomal RNA
Rfam family: Bacterial small subunit ribosomal RNA
Source: RNAcentral
GACGAACGCUGGCGGCGUGCCUAAUACAUGCAAGUAGAACGCUGAAGCUUGGUGCUUGCACCGAGCGGAUGAGUUGCGAACGGGUGAGUAACGCGUAGGUAACCUGCCUGGUAGCGGGGGAUAACUAUUGGAAACGAUAGCUAAUACCGCAUAAGAGUAGAUGUUGCAUGACAUUUGCUUAAAAGGUGCAAUUGCAUCACUACCAGAUGGACCUGCGUUGUAUUAGCUAGUUGGUGAGGUAACGGCUCACCAAGGCAACGAUACAUAGCCGACCUGAGAGGGUGAUCGGCCACACUGGGACUGAGACACGGCCCAGAAUCCUACGGGAGGCAGCAGUAGGGAAUCUUCGGCAAUGGACGGAAGUCUGACCGAGCAACGCCGCGUGAGUGAAGAAGGUUGUCGGAUCGUAAAGCUCUGUUGUAAGAGAAGAACGAGUGUGAGAGUGGAAAGUUCACACUGUGACGGUAUCUUAACAGAAAGGGACGGCUAACUACGUG